GAUUUAGUUAAUCAGUGAUACAAGUAAUUGCGGGAUCGUAAAUUUACCCAUUCUCCAAAAUGAAUUUCAAAAGGCUAUUCGUUUUCGUCAUUUUUGCCGUGCUGGUUUUGACUGACCAAACCGAAGCCGGAAAGUUGAAGAAGCUGGGCAAAAAGAUUGAAAAGGCUGGCAAAAACGUAGUUCAUGCUGUCGAUAAGGUGAUACCAACUGUCCUAGGGUUACAACAAAUCCGUGAAAACGAGAACAACAAAGAUAAAAACUAAAUAUGCAAGUAAACAAAUAAUUUAAAUGUUAGCUGAAGAGUAAGAAAAUAAAUUUGAUGAUCA
This 326-nucleotide long non-coding RNA is filed under the name Aedes aegypti (yellow fever mosquito). RNAcentral describes it as "uncharacterized LOC125505913 (LOC125505913)". Lineage: Eukaryota; Metazoa; Arthropoda; Insecta; Diptera; Culicidae. The record is from RNAcentral.